Molecule: ribosomal RNA, 501 nt
Filed under: uncultured bacterium
Lineage: Bacteria
Description: partial 16S ribosomal RNA
Rfam family: Bacterial small subunit ribosomal RNA
Source: RNAcentral
AUUGAACGCUGGCGGCAUGCCUUACACAUGCAAGUCGAACGGCAGCACGGGUGCUUGCACCUGGUGGCGAGUGGCGAACGGGUGAGUAAUACAUCGGAACGUACCUUAUCGUGGGGGAUAACGCAGCGAAAGCUGUGCUAAUACCGCAUACGCCCUGAGGGGGAAAGCGGGGGAUCGCAAGACCUCGCGCGAUUAGAGCGGCCGAUGCCUGAUUAGCUUGUUGGUGGGGUAAAAGCCCACCAAGGCGACGAUCAGUAGCUGGUCCGAGAGGACGAUCAGCCACACUGGGACUGAGACACAGCCCAGACUCCUACGGGAGGCAGCAGUGGGGAAUUUUGGACAAUGGGGGCAACCCUGAUCCAGCAACGCCGCGUGAGUGAAGAAGGCCUUCGGGUUGUAAAGCUCUUUUGUCAGGGAAGAAACACCGGCUCUAACACAGUCCGGGAAUGACGGUACCUGAAGAAUAAGCACCGGCUAACUACGUGCCAGCCGCCGCGGUAA